Molecule: non-coding RNA, 84 nt
Filed under: Pseudorhodoferax sp. Leaf267
Lineage: Bacteria; Pseudomonadati; Pseudomonadota; Betaproteobacteria; Burkholderiales; Comamonadaceae
Also listed under: 1 other name
Description: SAH (S-adenosyl-L-homocysteine) riboswitch aptamer
Rfam family: SAH (S-adenosyl-L-homocysteine) riboswitch aptamer
Source: Rfam by way of RNAcentral
CUUUCCGAGGAGCGUUGCAGCGGCCCGCCGUGUUCACGGUGCAGUCGCGAGGCUCGGAUUUAAUUGCAACGACGCUCGCCCACG